GGAAAUCUCACCAGGCCCGGACACUGGAAGGAUUGACAGAUUGAUAGCUCUUUCUUGUUAGCAAUAACAGGUCUGUGAUGCCCUAUUAAACUUGACACUGUCAGUCUCUUAUGACUGCGGUGCGCUUCUUAGAGGGAUCAUCGGCGUCCCAGCCGAAGGAAAGGGAGCAAUAA
RNAcentral lists this ribosomal RNA (173 nucleotides) under uncultured eukaryote. RNAcentral's name for it is "partial 18S ribosomal RNA". The record is from RNAcentral.